Molecule: unclassified non-coding RNA, 3121 nt
Filed under: Hevea brasiliensis (rubber tree)
Lineage: Eukaryota; Viridiplantae; Streptophyta; Magnoliopsida; Malpighiales; Euphorbiaceae
Source: RNAcentral
ACAAAGCAAAGUUCCCUUUAAUCCAUCAAUGGGGCGGAGGGUUGGAAAGUAGAGAAUUUUAAAAACCUCAAAGAAAAGGUUUUUAAACCUUUCCAACCAAACAUAACCCUAGUUUGGCGACUACACCACCCGAUACUACUGGUUGGCCCGGGCGGAGCUAGAGUAUUUUGUAACAAAGGGCUUCUGAGGUGCUAGCCGCCCUCUCGGGCUACACUUAUACGGCCAGGCGACCUGAGCGCUAUAAUGCCUUUGCCGAAGGUAAUGGAUCGCUAAAGGAGAGAAGAUUGCAAGAACCAAGAUGGUUCCGUUCCUUCCUCCAAGAGCGCUUAAUCAACAGGGGUAAGCCCGAUAACAACGGAUAAGCAGCUAACAGCUUUUACCCCUCAAAGCCUGUUCUCGAGCCACUCGGAGUCAACGGAGAAAAAGUUACAGGAACUGGGUCUUUAUUCUGUUCUAUGUUUAUAAGCUUCUGGUUAUGCAAAAGAAUUUCUGUCUUAAACCGUGGUUUUCACGCUGGUCGGCAUUUCACACACCGUAAUACUGAGGAUAUUGUUUUUAAAGCAAUUUGUGUUAAUCUCAAACACAAGAGAUGGAAUAUCUUGGAGCUAAUGUCACCCAGUCUCACUUCCUCGAUGGUGAGUCGUGUAGUUUGCCAGUUUCAAAACUCACCACUAUUAGCUUUAGAAUUUUAUAAUUGGGUUCUAGAGAAAAAGAGUAUUUUGCAAUCAGUGGAGUCUUGUUGCACUGUUAUUCAUGUGCUAGUCAACUUGAAGAGAUUUGAUGAUGCCUUGUCUCUUAUGGGGAACUUAAUGAGUGUAAAUGGGAGAUCCCAUUUGGAGGUCUUAGAUGCGUUGGUUAAUACUUAUCGAAUGUGUGAUUCAAGUCCAGCUGUUUUUGAUUGUUUGGUUCGGGCAUGUACUCAAAUUGGGGCUACUGAGAGUGCUUAUGAAGUGAUCAAGAAGUUGCAAUUGGAGGGUUAUUGGGUGACAAUUCAUGCUUGGAAUAACUUUUUGAAUCAUCUCUUGAAGUUGAAUGAGAUUAGUAGGUUUUGGAAGGAGUACAAGGAAAUGGUUUCUUGUGGAUAUGUUGAAAAUGUAUAUACUUUCAAUUUGGUCAUUUAUGCUCUUUGUAAGGAAUCUAAACUACUAGAAGCAAUGUCAAUGUUCUAUCAAAGCUUGAAGCGUGGUAUUUGGCCUAAUGUUGUUACUUUUAACAUGAUCAUAGAUGGUGCUUGCCAGAUGGGUGCCAUGGAUCUUGCCAUGAAGCUCAUUAGCAAGAUGGAAGCCAUGUCAGGUGGAACUGUUAAGCCUGAUUGUGUAACUUAUAAUUGUCUCAUCAAUGGAUUUUGCAAAAUUGGGAAAGCAUCUACGGCGGAAAAAGUUAAAAAUGAAAUUAUGGAGAAUGAUAUUGAGUCUAAUGUGAGGACCUACACAACUUUAAUAGAUGGAUAUUCCAGAGUGGGGAGUUUGGAGGAGGCAUUUAGGUUAUGUGAUGAAAUGGUGAAAAAGGGAUUGGCACCCAACUCUAUCAUAUACAAUUCACUCAUCCAGUGGCUUUACGUGGAAGGAGAUGUGGAAGAAGCCUCUUUGCUAUUAUCUGACAUGAUUAAUAAGUGGAUAUGCCCUGAUCAAUUCACAUAUUCUAUUCUCACAAUGGGUCUUUGCAGAGAUGGUUAUGUCAACGAAGCAUUUAAAUUCCAUAAUAAGCUUCUUGAAAAGAACCUCAUUGGAGAUUCAUUUUCAUACAAUAUUCUUAUUAAUUACUUGUGUAGAAGCAAUAAUUUAGCAGGAGCUAAACAACUUCUUGCCAGUAUGUAUGUUCGUGGCCUGAUUCCUGAUGUUGUUACAUAUGCUACUUUGAUAGAUUGGCAUUGCAAGGAGGGCAGCAUUGAAACUGCAGUUCAGGUCUAUGAGAAAAUGAUGAAGGCAGGGGAAAAACCUAAUUUGUUAGUCUACAAUUCUGUUAUAAAUGGUUUAUGCAAGGAGGAAUCACUGGAUCUUGCAGGACUUCUGAAGGAUACAUUGCAGAGGAUGGAUUUAUUUGAUGUCAUAACUUAUAAUACCUUGAUUAAUGGAUACAGCAAAAGUGGGAAGAUUGAUGAGGCAUUUGCUUUGUCUUCAGAAAUGAGAAAUGCAGGAAUUUCAGCAAGCCAUGCCACCUAUAACACAUUAAUAAACUUUUUGUGCAAGCUUAGUUGUGUUCAACAAGCAAAGGAACUAAUGAAGAUGAUGGUCCUUUGGGGUUUGAUUCCUGAUUCCAUAACAUACACAACUCUUAUUAGCAGUUUCAGCAAGAAGUGCAGCCCUGAAGAAGUGAUUGAAUUGCAUGAUUACAUGGUGCUCAAGGGAGUAGUGCCUGAUAAACAGACGUACAAGGCCAUAGUGAGUCCACUUCUUCAAGAAGAUGGUGUGGAGACCUGAGUUUAGCAUUUUUAGAAUGUGCCUCAAAGGUGGAUGGUGUGUAAACGAGACUCUUGUGAAGUGUGAAGUCUAUAUGAUCAGUUGUUGUAAGUUUUCUAAUGGAAGAUCUGUUCAUGCAGUCUUAGAUUAAAUAUUUAGAUCUUAGCAUUCUUAGUUUCCAGAUGAAGCUUGGGUUGCACGGUUGCACAUUCUAGUAUUAUCAAAACAGAAUGUGCUGAAUCUUACAAAGAAAUAAUCAAUUGUACCUUUAUUUUUGCCCUUUCCAGAGAACGUAUAAGCUCCUUUUUCCCCCUGGUGUUGACAUACUAGGUUCCAGGUUUUCUAGUUAUUAUUCUUCACUUCAUAAAAAAUAGGUUGAAUGAGGUGGGAACCUGUAUUUGACAAAAAACAUGUGUGAUAAUGUAAGUAGCUCUCUGUUUUUGAUUUCAAUUAUGGGUUAUGAAAUUCCUAAGCCGUUAUUAUUUGAUUUCCUCGUAAUUGUUGAUGCAUAUGGGCCCUACAUGUUUGAGUCAUGGCAUUUGUAUCUACUGUUUUCAGUUUCAGGCAUUUGCAAGUUGCUUCUUCCUGUUGACACAGGUUCCCUUCCCUUUUUCCCCUUUUUAAGUUUUAGCUCUCUGUUGCACACCAUGUAGCAUUUAACAGUUUGGAAGAGAGAGGAAGUGGCUAUGGUGGUGGGUUUGACCAUCUUGGGGAGAGAGAGA